This 554-nucleotide ribosomal RNA is filed under the name uncultured bacterium. Its description in RNAcentral is "partial 16S ribosomal RNA". It matches the Rfam family "Bacterial small subunit ribosomal RNA", at positions 355 to 900 of the family's 1533-position model. The record is from RNAcentral.
UAGGGAAUCUUCGGCAAUGGACGAAAGUCUGACCGAGCAACGCCGCGUGAGUGAAGAAGGUUUUCGGAUCGUAAAACUCUGUUGUUAGAGAAGAACGUUGCAUAGAGUGGAAAAUUAUGCAAGUGACGGUAUCUAACCAGAAAGGGACGGCUAACUACGUGCCAGCGGCCGCGGUAAUACGUAGGUCCCGAGCGUUGUCCGGAUUUAUUGGGCGUAAAGCGAGCGCAGGUGGUUUAAUAAGUCUGAUGUAAAAGGCAGUGGCUCAACCAUUGUGUGCAUUGGAAACUGUUAGACUUGAGUGCAGUAGAGGAGAGUGGAAUUCCAUGUGUAGCGGUGAAAUGCGUAGAUAUAUGGAGGAACACCGGUGGCGAAAGCGGCUCUCUGGACUGUCACUGACACUGAGGCUCGAAAGCGUGGGUAGCAAACAGGAUUAGAUACCCUGGUAGUCCACGCCGUAAACGAUGAGUGCUAGUUGUUUGGGGCUAUCCAGCCCUAAGUGACGCAGCAAACGCAUUAAGCACUCCGCCUGGGGAGUACGACCGCAAGGUUGAAAC